Molecule: long non-coding RNA, 1063 nt
Organism: Oxyura jamaicensis (ruddy duck)
Lineage: Eukaryota; Metazoa; Chordata; Aves; Anseriformes; Anatidae
Exons: 2
Source: RefSeq, a predicted model, not a curated record
CAAAACAUUUUGACUUUUCAAAGAGGAAAAGAAGUGUCCUGCUAAUUUGAAGGCUGACAGGUCUUCAAAAACUGGAAAAAAUGAUUUAAUUGUGAGCCAGGUAUCUGGAGAACAAGAUUUGGAGUUUUACGUCAAGUUUUGCACCUGUGUUCAGCUGGAUGGAGAGCAGAGUGAUGCCUUAUUCCCUCCUCUCCUCUAUGGACCAGUGCUCUGACUCACAUAUCUGUCCGCCUGGGUCUGCAUGGGCUUGAAGCCACCAUCGUCAUGACUUUUUCGUGUUCCCAAAUAAGCAGAAAUUACUUCCUGGCAUUAGCAUUGACUCAUCAAAUUAAUGCUGCCUGCCCUGGAAUGAGCCAUGUCUGCUGCUUGGCCCUUGGCAGGCUUUGAGGUUGUGCUGCCAAGGGCCAAGUUUACAUCCCCUGGGAUUUUUGGGACCUGUUUGUUCUGCCUGUGGCUGAGAGUGUCUCCCAUUACUCAGGGUGCUUUUUAGCAGGCAGGGUGUGGAGAUGGGCUGGGGUCCAGCCUACAGUGAUAACCCUAAGCCAAGCAGUCUGCAAAGUGCUGGGUGACUUCUUAAACUAGGAGUUGAGCAGAGAAAGCUAAAAAAUCAAGCAGAUCAAGAUAGGAUUUGCCAACUUUGCUUCUUCCAAUUUGCUUGGUAGUCCCGGGGAAUGGAAGAGUUUGAGGUGUGCACAGCACUGUCUGGGCACUCAGAGCAGGGUCUGGGGCUGCAGUGAUGCUGGGAGGAAGGGCCAGCACAGCCACCUGCAUGCUACAUGCUUUAAAUGUUUUGAGGAUCUUUCCAGCCCAGGAAAAGCUAUUUUUAAGCACUGCAUCCUGAAAAAUCUCCUUGGUUUUGCUCCCUUGGUAGCAGGUGAAGCCCAGCCUGUGCAAGAUGCUUCAUCAUCCCGAGUCUCCAGCCCUCAGCCUCACUUCCAGGUUUCCUUCAUGUACUUUCCAAAAUCUCUUCCUUCAUUCACAUCACAUAUCAUUAAUUAAAAUGGAGAGAAUGUUUCUGAUUGGCACACAGGAGGGACAUUGGGGAUUAUUAGCAGGAGAUGCA